Anaeromyces robustus is the source of this 191-nucleotide non-coding RNA. Lineage: Eukaryota; Fungi; Neocallimastigomycota; Neocallimastigomycetes; Neocallimastigales; Neocallimastigaceae. The record is from Rfam.
AUCCUCUCAGGCCUAUUGGCUAAGAUCAAGUGUAGUAUCUGUUCUUUUCAGUGUGACAACUGAAACGAGGUAUCUUGUACCUCUUGUUGUCUUGCUUAUUUUUGUAAAUCGUUGAGGUUUCAUUAGCUUGCUAAUGUCCUUGACAUCGGUGUUCCUAGUAUUGCACUACAUCUGGGUUACGCCAAGAACCU